UUGUAUCAAUGUAUUUGAAGAAACUGAUAAAACAAACAUCAAAACAUUGAAAAGUAUUAAAAGUACAUCCAGAAUCCUUAAGGAGGAGGAGACGUUCAGUAUUGAGGAACUGUGGUUCAGUCAGACUCCUCCUCAGAGCCCCUCCCACUGCAGUCAUUUAUCUAUUCAGUGUUUUUUAUCAUUUAUCACAUUUAGUUUAGUGCACAUGUAUAAACCUUAAAGAAAGAUACACAGCUAACCUUAAACCAUUAUCAAAACCUGUUUAAACUGAGGAAUCAACAUGGACAGAUAUCUACUAGUGAUUGCCAUUACAGUUUCAGGUGCAUUUGCUGAUAGCAUUGGUCCAGUUGACAAGGACACUAAUAUGAUCAUUAGAGAAGGAGAGUCUGUGACACUGAGAUGCUCAUAUGAUGCUAGCAGCAAUUAUGUCUAUCUUUACUGGUACAGACAGUAUCCAAACAGAGAACCAGAAUAUUUACUGUAUAAAGGUGCUCGAGCAUACAACUCUGAUUUUUAUUCUGAUAUACCGGACCGUCGGUUUCAGUCGACAACAUCUCAAUCAUCCACUGAACUCACUAUUAACAGUGUGACUCUGUCAGAUUCAGCUCUCUAUUAUUGUGCUCUAAGAGUUGAAGCCCAGUGAUACAAAGUGCCUGAGACGCUUUACAAAAACUCACAUCUCAAAUUCUUGCUUUAAAAGCCAGUUAUCAAAUGUUUAUCACACCACAUUUAUAUUUCUAAACCACUGGGACUGUAUGUGGUAACACCUGUUGAACAAUUCUGGAGUAAUGAAGAGAGAGGAGAAGAAAGGAUAUGACAUCACACUAGAAGAACUUGUUGUAUGGGAUGUUUAUCCACCUUAUCUUGCAAAGAGGAUGAGACCAGAAACCCGACACAUUCAAGUUACAAAUGGCCAUACGCACAUUUUUUAUGUUAAAAAUAAGGUGAACGCAGUUUGUUUAUGUCAUGUUUUAAAGCUAUUCCUGAACAUAACUCUAUACGG
Megalobrama amblycephala (Wuchang bream) is the source of this 1003-nucleotide non-coding RNA. Lineage: Eukaryota; Metazoa; Chordata; Actinopteri; Cypriniformes; Xenocyprididae. The record is from the annotation of a RefSeq genome assembly.